GGGGGAGUAGCUCAAUUGGUAGAGCAACGGCCUUUUAAGCCGUAGGUUGAGGGUUCGAGUCCCUCCUCCCUCA
RNAcentral lists this transfer RNA (73 nucleotides) under Planctomycetota bacterium. Its description in RNAcentral is "tRNA-Lys". It matches the Rfam family "tRNA". From Rfam's summary of the family: Transfer RNA (tRNA) molecules are approximately 80 nucleotides in length. Their secondary structure includes four short double-helical elements and three loops (D, anti-codon, and T loops). The record is from RNAcentral. Lineage: Bacteria; Pseudomonadati; Planctomycetota.